This 253-nucleotide ribosomal RNA is filed under the name uncultured bacterium. Its description in RNAcentral is "partial 16S ribosomal RNA". It matches the Rfam family "Bacterial small subunit ribosomal RNA", at positions 524 to 776 of the family's 1533-position model. The record is from RNAcentral.
UACAGAGGGGGCAAGCGUUGUCCGGAAUUAUUGGGCGUAAAGGGCUCGUAGGCGGUUUGUCGCGUCGGGAGUGAAAACACUGGGCUUAACUCAGUGCUUGCUUCCGAUACGGGCAGACUAGAGGUAUUCAGGGGAGAACGGAAUUCCUGGUGUAGCGGUGAAAUGCGCAGAUAUCAGGAGGAACACCGGUGGCGAAGGCGGUUCUCUGGGCCUGUACUGACGCUGAGGAGCGAAAGCGUGGGGAGCGAACAGG